Felis catus (domestic cat) is the source of this 1203-nucleotide long non-coding RNA. RefSeq lists it as uncharacterized. The transcript has 3 exons. The record is from RefSeq and is a predicted model, not a curated record. NCBI's taxonomy places the organism in Eukaryota, Metazoa, Chordata, Mammalia, Carnivora, Felidae.
AACAGGACGUUGGUGAUCACCUGGUCAGACUCCCUCCCACACUGGGAGGAAGUGAGGCCCAGAGAAGUUUGAUGAGCAGACAGGAUGGAAAUCAGGAGAGCAGGAGUUUCUCCGACCAAUGCACAGAUGAGUUAAACUCCAGGUGCUCUGCACAGGUCCUACACAGAGUUGGUGCUCGAUAAAUGAACGCGCCAUGAAAGAAUUGAGUCAGCGGAGAGGGGAAGUUCUGGAAGAGGAGGUGAUUGAUGGUCCUUAAUCCUGGAAACCUCUUUAACAAAGAAAAUACUUCAUCAUGUGAUGUGGAAAUUGAGUCCGAGAAGAGAGGUCGGGACUUGCCUAAGAUCAUUGAUUUAUGCCAGCACAAACUCCAGUGGCAGUCUUCAGAUCUGAGGGGGGUGCUUAUAGGAACACCCCUUCCCUAAGGGGGCAGGACCAGAAGAAAGGGCUUUGAAUUGCGAACAAAAGGAUCCAGGUGAGAUAUAAGGAAGAAUCCCAGCUGUAAGAAUGGGUAACAUAAGAAGACUGGAACCGCCUUCUCUGGGAUGGGAUGAGAUCCCCUCCAGGGGGUUGCCUGAAAUGAUCUCAGCACUGCAUCUCCCAGGGGCACUGCUCUCACACCAGUCCUUUUCUUUGGGAGUCCAAGGGAUUCAGGAUCCCUCUCCCAGAGACCGGCGCCAUGGCUGGUGGCUGGGGGAACUUGAGAGGCCAGUCCUGGAACAGGUGCAACAGCUGGAACAACUGCGCAGCUGUUACCCAGCUCCUGCUCAGCAGCCAGCUAGCCAGUGAGUGAGACAGAGACCUCUACUGGUGGGAGUGAGGAAGUGCAGAACCACCUAGACAGACCCAGAGAGGGGGCCUGCCUGGAGCCAGAUGUCAAGCCUUCACUCAGGUGUCCCCCUCCCCCGUGUAAAUCUGGACAGGUAGAUGGGGAUGCAACUAAGCUGAAAAGCAGGGCAGGGUCCCUGCCGGUGGGUCCCCCUACACACCCACUGUUCUAGGCCUCCUAAGUACUGGAGGGGCCACUCCUGGUGUCUGAGGAUCUAUUGACUCCUCCCUAGCAGGACAGGAGUACAAGGCUGCAGACCUAAACACCCUGACUUCCUUUCCCGGAGCCCAGAACAGACUCAGAAUCAAGGCAACAGCAUCUUUGGAUCUUAGAGUCUUAGAAUCACGGGAUAUUAAAGCCAGAAGUGUCCUCAGUGA